RNAcentral lists this long non-coding RNA (414 nucleotides) under Salmo salar (Atlantic salmon). RNAcentral describes it as "lncRNA (ENSSSAG00000083726.1)". The record is from RNAcentral. Lineage: Eukaryota; Metazoa; Chordata; Actinopteri; Salmoniformes; Salmonidae.
UCCUGGUCUCCAGACUGUCAGGUAGAUGAUUAUAACAGUAGUGUUGGUUUCCAGACUGUCAGGUAGAUGAUUAUAACAGUAGUGUUGGUCUCCAGACUGUCAGGAUGAUGAUUAUAACAGUAGUGCUGGUCUCCAGGCUGUCAGGUAGAUGAUUAUAACAGUAGUGUUGGUUUCCAGACUGUCAGGUAGAUGAUUAUAACAGUAGUGUUGGUUUCCAGGCUGUCAGGUAGAUGAUUAUAACAGUAGUGUUGGUCCUGGUCUCCAGACUGUCAGGUAGAUGAUUAUAACAGAAAUGUUGGUCUCCAGGCUGUCAGGUAGAUGAUUAUAACAGUAGUGUUGGUCUCCAGACUGUCAGGUAGAUGAUUAUAACAGUAGUGUUGGUCCUGGUCUCCAGGCUGUCAGGUAGAUGAUUAU